UUAAAUUGAAGAGUUUGAUCAUGGCUCAGAUUGAACGCUGGCGGCAGGCCUAACACAUGCAAGUCGAGCGGAAACGAGUUAUCUGAA
Molecule: ribosomal RNA, 87 nt
Filed under: Vibrio parahaemolyticus
Lineage: Bacteria; Pseudomonadati; Pseudomonadota; Gammaproteobacteria; Vibrionales; Vibrionaceae
Description: partial 16S ribosomal RNA
Rfam family: Bacterial small subunit ribosomal RNA
Source: RNAcentral